AGCGAACGCUGGCGGCAUGCCUAACACAUGCAAGUCGAGCGCUCCCAGCAAUGGGGGAGCGGCGGACGGGUGAGUAACGCGUAGGAACGUAUCCUGAGGUGGGGGAGUAACCCUGGGAAACUAGGACUAAUACCGCAUGAUGGCGAGAGCCCAAAGAUUUAUCGCCUUGGGAGCGGCCUGCGUCUGAUUAGCUUGUUGGUGGGGUAACGGCCUACCAAGGCGAUGAUCAGUAGCUGGUCUGAGAGGAUGAUCAGCCACACUGGGACGUGAGACACGGCCCACGACUCCUACGGGAGGCAGCAGUGGGGAAUAUUGGACAAUGGGCGAAAGCCUGAUCCAGCAAUGCCGCGUGGAUGAAGAAGGUCUUCGGAUUGUAAAGUCCUUUCGGUC
This 390-nucleotide ribosomal RNA is filed under the name uncultured bacterium. RNAcentral's name for it is "bacterial SSU rRNA". It matches the Rfam family "Bacterial small subunit ribosomal RNA", at positions 29 to 441 of the family's 1533-position model. The record is from RNAcentral.